AUCGAUGAAGAACGCAGCGAAAUGCGAUACGUAAUGUGAAUUGCAGAAUUCAGUGAAUCAUCGAAUCUUUGAACGCACAUUGCACUCUCUGGUAUUCCGGAGAGUAUGCUUGUUUGAGUAUCAGUAAACACCUCAAGUCUCUUCUCUAGAGAAGAGAAUUGGACUUGAGCAAUCCCAACUCUUUGCAAAAAGAGGCGGGUUGCUUGAAAUGCAGGUGCAGCUGGACAUUCUUCUGAGCUAAAAGCAUAUUUAUUUAGUCCCGUCAAACGGAUUAUUACUUUUGCUCUAGCUAAUAUAAAGGUCGAAUGCGCUAUAUGCUGACUGAUGCAGGAUUACCAAGUUUUACCUAGUAAAACUUGUAAACUCGAUCUCAAAUCAAGUAAGACUACCCGCUGAACUUAAGCAUAUCAAUAA
RNAcentral lists this ribosomal RNA (414 nucleotides) under Mortierella sp. 39143-R3. RNAcentral describes it as "eukaryotic LSU rRNA". The stretch from base 1 to 123 matches the Rfam family "5.8S ribosomal RNA", at positions 32 to 154 of the family's 154-position model. The record is from RNAcentral. Lineage: Eukaryota; Fungi; Mortierellomycota; Mortierellomycetes; Mortierellales; Mortierellaceae.